UACGUAGGGUCCGAGCGUUGUCCGGAGUUACUGGGCGUAAAGCGCGCGCAGGCGGCCCGUGAGGUGUCACGUGAAAGCCCCGAGCUCAACUCGGGAGGGUCGUGGCAAACCGGCGGGCUUGAGGCCGGUAGAGGUGGGUGGAACUCCUGGUGGAGUGGUGAAAUGCGUAGAGAUCAGGAAGAACACCCGUGGCGAAGGCGGCCCACUGGGCCGGAACUGACGCUGAGGCGCGAAGGCGUGGGGAGCGAACGGG
This 253-nucleotide ribosomal RNA is filed under the name uncultured bacterium. Its description in RNAcentral is "partial 16S ribosomal RNA". It matches the Rfam family "Bacterial small subunit ribosomal RNA", at positions 524 to 776 of the family's 1533-position model. The record is from RNAcentral.